This 208-nucleotide ribosomal RNA is filed under the name uncultured bacterium. RNAcentral's name for it is "partial 16S ribosomal RNA". It matches the Rfam family "Bacterial small subunit ribosomal RNA", at positions 568 to 774 of the family's 1533-position model. The record is from RNAcentral.
CUCGUAGGCGGACUAGUAAGUCUGGCGUGAAAUCUCCACCGCUCACCGGGGAGAGGUCGCUGGAUACUGCUAGUCUUGAGUUCGGUAGAGGGUCGUGGAAUUUCGGGUGUAGCGGUGGAAUGCGUAGAUAUCCGAAAGAACACCGGUGGCGAAGGCGGCGACCUGGGCCUGAACUGACGCUGAGGAGCGAAAGCUAGGGGAGCAAACG